AAUUAGCUAAACAAAGAAAUCAUGGCGGAUUGUUUACAUUUGGCAGCGCCCGGGCUGCGCCGACCGCCGGCCCCGAGCCGCCGCGGGCUCCGAGGAGUCGGCCGAGCUGCUCCCGCGCCCUGGCCGGACGUUUGAAACUAUUGCUUUGCUGAAAACAUCUGACUGCCAGGCUAGGAUGUGACACUUAAGGGACUUACCAAUUUGGGAUUCUUCCAGGAGCUGAAAACUGAUUGCAAAUAUGAAACAGAUUUCACUACAGGACUUGAACCCUACAUUAAAAAACAACAAGCUCCCCAAAAUAAUUGAAAAAGAUCUUCACCAAAGAGUAGCUGCAAUGUGAAUGGCAGGAUAUGAAGCAAGUAAGAGAUGGUGAAAAGAUUAUCUUAAGCUUGGAAUUAAGUGAUGAAAGGGACCUUCGAAAUUAUCAACUCUAAAUACUUCUUUACAGGAAAAUUGAAAGCAGUUAAGAACCUGCCCCCUACCGUGGAGUUCUUGGUGCCGUGAGUUGGAGUUCUUGGUGCCUGGGUGCGUCCCCAAGGCCACUGGUCUUCAGAUCUUUCUUACUUGAGAAGAACGCCUCCGCCUCCUGGCUCUCCCACCAGUGGUAUUGCCACCACCACACACCAGCAUAAAGCACAGAUUGCUGCCCAGCUCCUUGGAGAGGGGCCAGUGCAUUUGUCAGGAAUUGAAAAGUUUUGGAGCCAGUUCGAGGACUUUCUCCUGCACAAAGUGUUGGCUGGAAGCAUGAAGCAAUAACACAUGGUUUGCCAAAGAAUCUGCAUUGAAUAAUACUGGUGGUGACCACAAGAACAUGCCUCUCUGACUGCAAGGAACAAGAGUGACCCAGGGUUUCAGCUGCUGCCUUGGAAAUUCAUCACAGUGCAAGUCUAUGCUUCCCACGGGCUGCUCCCAGCCUGUGAAUAAGCCUGGCAUCUUUGUUGAGGCAGGCCUAUUUCUGGAGAUGCAGGAUCCUCCGAUGGGCGAAUUUGGCUCUAGGACUGCUUGAUGGCCUUGACAGACUUUCCUUAGAAAUGCAUGGCAAUUUAGGGUUCCUCCACCCUUCCCUCUUUCUCUCCUUCACCUAGGGUCGGACUUGCAUCAUGGCCUGAAAGCUCCACCAGCCUCUCCUGCCCUCCUCCUCAUUUUCUUUCACAGGCAUAUCCUCUAAUAAAUUUCUUGCACAUUGAAUCUCAUCUUGGCAUCUACUUAUUGGAGGAUCUGAAAAUUCACAUUUUUAACACAAUAAUAAAAUUCACAUUUUUUCAUCA
This is a long non-coding RNA of Homo sapiens (human), 1268 nucleotides long. Ensembl annotates it as long intergenic non-protein coding RNA 1122. The record is from Ensembl. Lineage: Eukaryota; Metazoa; Chordata; Mammalia; Primates; Hominidae.